This is a non-coding RNA of Elasticomyces elasticus, 102 nucleotides long. NCBI's taxonomy places the organism in Eukaryota, Fungi, Ascomycota, Dothideomycetes, Mycosphaerellales, Teratosphaeriaceae. The record is from the annotation of a GenBank genome assembly.
GGGGAUGUGGUCCAAUGGUAAGAUACUGUUGCGGGUGUGCCUGGCACGCCCAGGGAGACUCUCCCUGCAACGGUGAUACUGGUUCAAGUCCGGUCAUCUCCA